AGUAAAGUGGCUGAUAUUUAAGCAAUAAAUUGUAAAUUUAUUUAAAAGAGUUUUCUUCUUUAUUA
Molecule: transfer RNA, 65 nt
Filed under: Silvatares holzenthali
Lineage: Eukaryota; Metazoa; Arthropoda; Insecta; Trichoptera; Pisuliidae
Description: tRNA-Tyr
Source: RNAcentral